RNAcentral lists this unclassified non-coding RNA (334 nucleotides) under soil metagenome. Its description in RNAcentral is "partial contains 5.8S ribosomal RNA, internal transcribed spacer 2, and large subunit ribosomal RNA". The stretch from base 1 to 120 matches the Rfam family "5.8S ribosomal RNA", at positions 35 to 154 of the family's 154-position model. The record is from RNAcentral.
GAUGAAGAACGUAGCGAAAUGCGAUAAGUAAUGUGAAUUGCAGAAUUCAGUGAAUCAUCGAAUCUUUGAACGCACAUUGCGCCCGCCAGUAUUCUGGCGGGCAUGCCUGUUCGAGCGUCAUUUCAACCAUCAAGCCCCCGGCUUGUGUUGGGGACCUGCGGCUGCCGCAGGCCCUGAAAUGCAGUGGCGGGCUCGCUGUCACUCCGAGCGUAGUAGUUACAUCUCGCUCUGGGCGUGCUGCGGGUUCCGGCCGUUAAAAGCCUUAUUUACCCAAGGUUGACCUCGGGUCAGGUAGGAAGACCCGCUGAACUUAAGCAUAUCAAUAAGCGGAGGA